CUGCUCUGGAAGAAAGACACACCACUGUCACAGAUGUAUGGGGACAGAUUAAGCUCCAGAUGGAAUACUGUCGGUGUCAAUCAGUCACUGUUCUUGCAGCCUGGCCGGCUUUCAUCAAAGUAACCACAGAGGAGGAUUCUGCAACUCACAACCUCUUAAAGCUUUGUAUGGACCGGAGGUGAAGCUCUCCUGUCAUCCUCAGCAUUCCCCUCCAAACGCUUGUUUAUGUCCCACCCCUGCUAAUUCAUACAUAGUAUCUUUUUAUUGUAUUCAUCCUUAAGUGUCUCUUCCAUUUCCAAGUGACUGUUCAAUAUUCCGCAGAAUGUUCCAGCUCUUCAGUGAGCUAUACAUUAUUGUGACAUCAGUUGUCCCAUAAAGUGACAAAAUCUGGAUCAAAUACAGGUCUUAUUGUCAGAAGAGAGGAGAUAAGAUGAAGAAUUGGUAAGAUAGCUGGGAAGAAGAGUGAAAUGACUGAUGUUUAUGAAACAUUUAGGAAGUUAUUGAACAUCUGCUACCUGCUCUUUUCUUUCCUUUUUUAUUCUGAAGAUCUACAAGUUUCAGCCAGUUUGUUUUAUGUUCCCAUUAUGACACACGUUUGGUUCAUGGCCAGUGACUCUGUGCCUCACUUUCAGACUGAUUGGAUACCACGCAGGCACAGGAAAAGAACAUGUGAAGGAUCCUAUCAGCCUAAAGAAUCACUGUCAGCCUCCCUACGCUAGCAGGACUUCCAGACCAAUGCUGAACAGCAGUGACAAGAAGUUACUUUCUUCUCAUGUCUAAUCUUGGGUCCCCAGAAUCCAAGGAACACUGUCUACUGAUAAAUCGC
RNAcentral lists this long non-coding RNA (826 nucleotides) under Heterocephalus glaber (naked mole-rat). RNAcentral's name for it is "lncRNA (ENSHGLG00000037054.1)". The record is from RNAcentral. Lineage: Eukaryota; Metazoa; Chordata; Mammalia; Rodentia; Bathyergidae.